ACAGAGGUCUCAAGCGUUGUUCGGAUUCAUUGGGCGUAAAGGGUGCGUAGGUGGCGAUGUAAGUCGGAUGUGAAAUCUCCAAGCUUAACUUGGAAACUGCAUUCGAUACUGCGUUGCUAGAGGACUGUAGAGGGCAUUGGAAUUCACGGUGUAGCAGUGAAAUGCGUAGAUAUCGUGAGGAAGACCAGUGGCGAAGGCGAAUGCCUGGGCAGUUCCUGACACUGAGGCACGAAGGCCAGGGGAGCAAACGGGAUUAGAUACCCCGGUAGUCCUGGCAGUAAACGGUGCACGUUUGGUGUGGGAGGAUUCGACCCCUUCCGUGCCGGAGCUAACGCGUUAAACGUGCCGCCUGGGGAGUACGGUCGCAAGAUUA
This 373-nucleotide ribosomal RNA is filed under the name uncultured bacterium. RNAcentral describes it as "bacterial SSU rRNA". It matches the Rfam family "Bacterial small subunit ribosomal RNA", at positions 525 to 896 of the family's 1533-position model. The record is from RNAcentral.